Molecule: ribosomal RNA, 492 nt
Filed under: uncultured bacterium
Lineage: Bacteria
Description: bacterial SSU rRNA
Rfam family: Bacterial small subunit ribosomal RNA
Source: RNAcentral
AGAGUGAACGCUGGCGGCAGGCCUAAUACAUGCAAGUCGAACGGCAGCACAGCAGAGCUUGCUCUGUGGGUGGCGAGUGGCGGACGGGUGAGGAAUACAUGGGAAUCUGCCCAGUCGUGGGGGAUAACGUAGGGAAACUUACGCUAAUACCGCAUGCGCCCUUCGGGGGAAAGCCGGGGACCUUCGGGCCUGGCGCGAUUGGAUGAGCCCAUGUCGGAUUAGCUAGUUGGCGGGGUAAUGGCCCACCAAGGCGACGAUCCGUAGCUGGUCUGAGAGGAUGAUCAGCCACACUGGAACUGAGACACGGUCCAGACUCCUACGGGAGGCAGCAGUAGGGAAUAUUGGACAAUGGGCGCAAGCCUGAUCCAGCCAUGCCGCGUGAGUGAAGAAGGCCCUCGGGUUGUAAAGCUCUUUUGUCCGGAAAGAAAAGCGCCGGGUUAAUACCCUGGUGUCCUGACGGUACCGGAAGAAUAAGCACCGGCUAACUUCGUG